Molecule: ribosomal RNA, 693 nt
Filed under: Mucor bacilliformis
Lineage: Eukaryota; Fungi; Mucoromycota; Mucoromycetes; Mucorales; Mucoraceae
Description: eukaryotic LSU rRNA
Rfam family: Eukaryotic large subunit ribosomal RNA
Source: RNAcentral
GCGGAGGAAAAGAAAAUAACAAUGAUUUCCCCAGUAACGGCGAGUGAAGAGGAAAGAGCUCAAAGUUGGAACCUGUUUGGCUUAGCUAAACCGGAUUGUAAACUGUAGAAGUGUUUUCCAGACACGCCUGGUAAAAAAGUCCUUUGGAACAGGGCAUCAUAGAGGGUGAGAAUCCCGUCUUUGGCCAGAGCUGUUGUCUUUUGUGAUACAUUUUCAAAGAGUCAGGUUGUUUGGGAAUGCAGCCUAAAUUGGGUGGUAAAUCUCACCUAAAGCUAAAUAUUUGCGAGAGACCGAUAGCGAACAAGUACCGUGAGGGAAAGAUGAAAAGAACUUUGAAAAGAGAGUUAAACAGUAUGUGAAAUUGUUAAAAGGGAACCGUUUGGAGCCAGACUGGCUUAACUGUAAUCAAUCUAGGCUUCGGCCUGGAUGCACUUGCGGUUUAUGCCUGCCAACGACAGUUUUAUUUGGGGGAAAAAAUUAUUAGGAAUGUGGCCAUUCGUGGUGUUAUAGCCUUUUAAAAAAUACCCUGGAUUGGACUGAGGAACGCAGUGGAUGCCUUUAGGCAAGAUUGCUGGGUGCUUUCGCUAAUAAAUGUUAGAAUUUCUGCUUCGGGUGGUGCUAGUGUUUAAAGGAGGAACUCGCUUAGUAUAUUUUUUAUCCGCUUAGGUUGUUGGCUUAAUGACUCUAAAUGAC